AGGCCACAGAUAUGGAUUCGUUUAUCAUGUCUCCAGGGUACCCGACUCAGUACUUCAGCAACAUGAACUGCCGCUGGACCAUCGUGGCGACGGAUAACGAUGCUACGGUCGAACUGGUUGCUGUCAUCUCCGACAUUGCCGACACUUCCCCAUCUUGCAGCAGUGACAGAGUGUCUGUUACGGACUCUGAUAUGACAGAACUGGGGAUAUUCUGUGGAACGAACAAACCUACAUAUAAUAGUACAGGACCAAACAUGACUGUUGUC
Molecule: long non-coding RNA, 266 nt
Organism: Haliotis rufescens (red abalone)
Lineage: Eukaryota; Metazoa; Mollusca; Gastropoda; Lepetellida; Haliotidae
Exons: 3
Source: RefSeq, a predicted model, not a curated record